Long non-coding RNA from Anopheles gambiae (African malaria mosquito), 1309 nucleotides. RefSeq lists it as uncharacterized. The transcript is spliced from 3 exons. The record is from RefSeq and is a predicted model, not a curated record. Lineage: Eukaryota; Metazoa; Arthropoda; Insecta; Diptera; Culicidae.
AAAGCUUCCACCUUCAGUCUUCAGUCAGUUUUCCCACCGGUCGUAUGUGCCGCGUACCGCGUUUCGCAAGGCCACCCAUUCGCCUAUCGGUCAAUCUCUGUCAUCUCUGUUUUGUCCUCUGCAACCCAACCCCAACACUAGCAGCGUCAUCAACCAUUCUGGUCCCUUCCCACUUUGUGUCCCUCAUCACGCAGAAUUGACCGCGUUGCCGGUAUAGUAAGAUAAUCCAACGUAGAAGUGCAUUGUGCGCGUUUAGUGUGUUAUUCCCAGUGUGUGUGUGUGCGUAUGUGUGUAGGUGCAUUGCUUAUACUGUCUAUUCAACUAACUUAACCCUUUUCUGUGUGUCUGUGUCGUGAACGUCAACGCUCUAGUGUCUAUUUCCAUCCACGUGUGUGCGUGUAUGAGCGUGCUUUUGUGUGUGUAUGGUAGCUAAUCUAUGGAUAAUUGGUGUCUAUGUGCGAAACCCGAAGUAAGCUGUUAUCAACUAGGCUUGGAACCGGCUGGCUUACAGUGAUACACUGUGUUUCUAUGAGUGUGUGUGGCGUAAAGUGUAACAAGCGCAUAGCGUUACUGAAGCUUCAUGCGAGAUACUACUAGGCAGCUUUAGUAGCAGUGUGAACAUACGCAGCAGUACUAAGGAUUAACCAAGUGAAGCACCGAAGGAAGGAAGGCCAAACAAAGCGGGCUCAACCUUCAGACAGUUUUCUACAGUCGGUGCAAAAACGUGCCGUACAUCACGUGGAGGGAAAGUUUCGCAAAGCAGUUGCUUCUUUCCGCACGACAUUCCGCAGCCCCAUCAGCACAAGUGCUAGGACGUGAAACAAUCGACACAUACGUACGCAGCCUGAAGUGUUGAAGCAAACUAAAGCGCGCAAGUGUGACGUGGCGUUGCCAAAAAGCUGCUAAUAAAUCAAUGUAAGAAAUCACAAAAAAAGAAACGAAAAUACGUGGCGAAACGUAGUGUGAAAAGGUGAGCAGCUUUUCGACCGAUUCUCGUAAAGUGAGUGUCAUAAUUGAUAAAUAUUAAACGAAAUAUCGCCAUAAAGUGUCACAGCUUUGCAAAGAGUAAAAGAGGGGGUUAGUGCAAACAGUGUCCAGAAUAAUAAAAAAUGGUUUAAAAUCUAGCUAAUUGUUCAAAAAUCCUAAGCAAUUAAGCAACCAAAUAUUGUCACCAUGUGUCACAGUGUAGUGCGCCAGUCAGCUGGCUGUUCGAUUCCAGCGCAACCUCAAUCGGGCGCUUAUCAAUGAGGCGUUAAGCGAAAUCUUUCCCUUUUACACGGCACACAACGCCGCCUGACGCGUCCAAGCA